This 70-nucleotide transfer RNA is filed under the name Megalops atlanticus (tarpon). RNAcentral describes it as "tRNA-OTHER". Lineage: Eukaryota; Metazoa; Chordata; Actinopteri; Elopiformes; Megalopidae. The record is from RNAcentral.
GGCAGUGUAGCGUAGUGGUAACGAGCAAGGCUCAUAACCAAAAGUUUGCUGGUUCGAUUCCCCACUGGGG